RNAcentral lists this ribosomal RNA (465 nucleotides) under Vreelandella stevensii. RNAcentral's name for it is "partial 16S ribosomal RNA". It matches the Rfam family "Bacterial small subunit ribosomal RNA", at positions 338 to 795 of the family's 1533-position model. Lineage: Bacteria; Pseudomonadati; Pseudomonadota; Gammaproteobacteria; Oceanospirillales; Halomonadaceae. The record is from RNAcentral.
CCUACGGGAGGCUGCAGUGGGGAAUAUUGGACAAUGGGGGGAACCCUGAUCCAGCCAUGCUGCGUGUGUGAAGAAGGCCCUCGGGUUGUAAAGCACUUUCAGUGAGGAAGAACGCCUGGUGGUUAAUACCCAUCAGGAAAGACAUCACUCACAGAAGAAGCACCGGCUAACUCCGUGCCAGCAGCCGCGGUAAUACGGAGGGUGCGAGCGUUAAUCGGAAUUACUGGGCGUAAAGCGCGCGUAGGUGGCUUGAUAAGCCGGUUGUGAAAGCCCCGGGCUCAACCUGGGAACGGCAUCCGGAACUGUCAAGCUAGAGUGCAGGAGAGGAAGGUAGAAUUCCCGGUGUAGCGGUGAAAUGCGUAGAGAUCGGGAGGAAUACCAGUGGCGAAGGCGGCCUUCUGGACUGACACUGACACUGAGGUGCGAAAGCGUGGGUAGCAAACAGGAUUAGAUACCCCGGUAGUC